AGUCGGCCGGACGGCCGCGGGGCGGGGAACCGACGCCGGAGGGCGGAAGGGCCCUGCCCCGAGGAAAGUCCGGACUCCACAGAGCAGGGUGGUUGUUAACGGCAACCCGGGGUGACCCGCGGGAAAGUGCCACAGAAAGCAGACCGCCGCGCCCGCUGCGGCGCGGUAAGGGUGAAACGGUGCGGUAAGAGCGCACCAGCGCCCCGGGUGACCGGGGCGGCUCGGUAAACCCCACCCGGAGCAAGGUCGAAGGUCGCACCGGUGACGGUGUGACUGCACGGAUGCCACGAGGGCUGCUCGCCCCAGUCCGUGGGUUGACCGCUCGAGGCGCCCGGCGACGGUGCGCCCAGAUGGAUGGUCGUCGCCCUCCCUCGCGGAGGGGCACAGGAUCCGGCUUACAGGCCGGCUCGU
This 411-nucleotide RNase P RNA is filed under the name uncultured Dietzia sp. RNAcentral's name for it is "Bacterial RNase P class A". It matches the Rfam family "Bacterial RNase P class A". Rfam says of the family: Ribonuclease P (RNase P) is a ubiquitous endoribonuclease, found in archaea, bacteria and eukarya as well as chloroplasts and mitochondria. The record is from RNAcentral. Lineage: Bacteria; Bacillati; Actinomycetota; Actinomycetes; Mycobacteriales; Dietziaceae.